RNAcentral lists this long non-coding RNA (932 nucleotides) under Gossypium barbadense (sea-island cotton). Its description in RNAcentral is "long non-coding RNA (GBAR_LNC005013)". The record is from RNAcentral. Lineage: Eukaryota; Viridiplantae; Streptophyta; Magnoliopsida; Malvales; Malvaceae.
UUUAAACAGUCCAUAAAAGUUUUUUUUUACAGACCCAAACAGCCAAAUUUUACUAGACUAGCCCAGCCUAAACUAAGUCCCAAAUCCCUUAACCCGUUUACACCCUUGACCCAUUACAAUUACAACUUUAGCCCAAAUAUACCCGAAGCCCAGACCUAAACUGGACCCGAAUAACAGUGGCCCAAAAAACCCAAAACUAUCAGCUAGGGUUUUCAGCCCUAGCUCUUUCCCCUCGCGCCGCAAUAGUUUCUGAAAGCUUCGGGGAGCGUCGGUGCAACUCCCCAGAUUGAGGCCAUCAAUGCAUACCGACGCGCCAUCAAUGCGUUUGUCCCUCUCGUGACCGUCCAGCACCGCGAUCUCAGGCCUCCCCUCUAGCCUUGGUACCACCGUUAACGCUGAGAUCAUUGGGAUACCUGCAAGAAAAGGAAACAAACAGCAGAUACGCGAAAAAAGCAGAGUAGAAAAAGGCAAGGAAAUCACAGUCAAAGAUACAGAAGACACAAAAUAGAAAGAAAUCUUAGAUUUCUUUCCCCGAAUAUGUAAGGGACCGAGGCUAUAAAGCCUUUCUUUUCACUUGUAAAAAGGACUUACGUUCUGAAAAAUACACAUGAGGCAGAUACCAAAACAUUGUACACAGAAUCGUUUUUGCAAUAAUAUACCAGAGAUUUUUUUUUACAGAAGACAAAGGUGACAUAUUUUUAUUUCCGUUUCAUUCGCUUGAUCAUGAGUUUAUGCAUAUAAUAUAUUAAACAGAUAGAGAGAGAGUAUACCUAGAGAAUCACUUUGAAAAGCGAAACUUUUCAAGUUCCGACCGUCGUGUGUGGCGGGGUCGAUGGCGGCGCGUGGAUCUCAACGUGGAGGUCCGAUGACCAGAGCUGAUCGGCUAAAUGCCGGAGCUCAGAGGACCAGGGAUCCUCUUCAGAGGAUUUUUU